GUUCAUUUGGAGGUAAAUGGGGGGCUGAGUGACGUCAUCGCUAUAAAUUAAAUGUGUAAUAUCUACGAAACCGUAGCAGCAGAAACGAAAGUUUUUGCAGCACAAACCAGCACAAACGAACCACAAACGAACGGUACCA
Molecule: long non-coding RNA, 139 nt
Organism: Syngnathus acus (greater pipefish)
Lineage: Eukaryota; Metazoa; Chordata; Actinopteri; Syngnathiformes; Syngnathidae
Exons: 2
Source: RefSeq, a predicted model, not a curated record